RNAcentral lists this non-coding RNA (48 nucleotides) under unclassified sequences. Its description in RNAcentral is "DUF2693-FD RNA". It matches the Rfam family "DUF2693-FD RNA". From Rfam's summary of the family: DUF2693-FD RNA is a non-coding RNA (ncRNA) recognised in Bacteroides by a bioinformatic analisis by Zasha Weinberg. No recognised genes. The record is from Rfam by way of RNAcentral.
CCCCUAUUGACGGAUUGAACGGCAUCCAGUACAAAAACUGGAUAGGGG